UGCCUAAAUAGCUCAGUUGGUAGAGCAACGCAUUCGUAACGCGUAGGUCGUCGGUUCGAUCCCGGCUUUGGGCAA
Molecule: transfer RNA, 75 nt
Filed under: Chlamydia psittaci
Lineage: Bacteria; Pseudomonadati; Chlamydiota; Chlamydiia; Chlamydiales; Chlamydiaceae
Also listed under: 3 other names
Description: tRNA-Thr
Rfam family: tRNA
About the family: Transfer RNA (tRNA) molecules are approximately 80 nucleotides in length. Their secondary structure includes four short double-helical elements and three loops (D, anti-codon, and T loops).
Source: RNAcentral